UGGGGAAUAUUGCACAAUGGGCGCAAGCCUGCUGCAGCCAUGCCGCGUGUAUGAAGAAGGCCUUCGGGUUGUAAAGUACUUUCAGCGAGGAGGAAGGCGGUAAGGUUAAUAACCUUAUCGAUUGACGUUACUCGCAGAAGAAGCACCGGCUAACUCCGUGCCAGCAGCCGCGGUAAUACGGAGGGUGCAAGCGUUAAUCGGAAUUACUGGGCGUAAAGCGCACGCAGGCGGUCUGUCAAGUCGGAUGUGAAAUCCCCGGGCUCAACCUGGGAACUGCAUUCGAAACUGGCAGGCUAGAGUCUUGUAGAGGGGGGUAGAAUUCCAGGUGUAGCGGUGAAAUGCGUAGAGAUCUGGAGGAAUACCGGUGGCGAAGGCGGCCCCCUGGACAAAGACUGACGCUCAGGUGCGAAAGCGUGGGGAGCAAACA
Molecule: ribosomal RNA, 427 nt
Filed under: uncultured bacterium
Lineage: Bacteria
Description: partial 16S ribosomal RNA
Rfam family: Bacterial small subunit ribosomal RNA
Source: RNAcentral